GAUGAACGCUAGCUACAGGCUUAACACAUGCAAGUCGAGGGGUAGCAGGGUAGCAAUACCGCUGACGACCGGCGCACGGGUGAGUAACACGUAUCCAACCUUCCCAUAACUCGGGGAUAGCCUUUCGAAAGAAAGAUUAAUACCCGAUAGUACUUUUUCAAGGCAUCUUGAGAAAGUUAAGGAUUUAUUGGUUAUGGAUGGGGAUGCGUUCCAUUAGAUAGUUGGUGAGGUAACGGCUCACCAAGUCUUCGAUGGAUAGGGGUUCUGAGAGGAAGGUCCCCCACAUUGGUACUGAGACACGGGCCAAACUCCUACGGGAGGCAGCAGUGAGGAAUAUUGGUCAAUGGGCGAGAGCCUGAACCAGCCAAGUAGCGUGAAGGAUGAAGGUCCUAUGGAUUGUAAACUUCUUUUAUAGUAGAAUAAAGUGAUCCACGUGUGGAUUUUUGUAUGUAUACUAUGAAUAAGGAUCGGCUAACCCCGUGCCAGCCGCCGCCGUAA
RNAcentral lists this ribosomal RNA (498 nucleotides) under uncultured bacterium. RNAcentral describes it as "partial 16S ribosomal RNA". It matches the Rfam family "Bacterial small subunit ribosomal RNA", at positions 28 to 523 of the family's 1533-position model. The record is from RNAcentral.